Molecule: ribosomal RNA, 207 nt
Filed under: uncultured bacterium
Lineage: Bacteria
Description: partial 16S ribosomal RNA
Rfam family: Bacterial small subunit ribosomal RNA
Source: RNAcentral
CGCGUAGGCUGUUGAGUAAGUCAAAUGUGAAAUCCCCGGGCUUAACCUGGGAACUGCAUUCGAUACUGCUUAACUAGAGUAUGGUAGAGGGAAGUGGAAUUCCGGGUGUAGCGGUGAAAUGCGUAGAUAUCCGGAGGAACACCAGUGGCGAAGGCGACUUCCUGGGCCAAUACUGACGCUGAGGUGCGUAAGCGUGGGGAGCAAACA